RNAcentral lists this ribosomal RNA (429 nucleotides) under uncultured bacterium. RNAcentral describes it as "bacterial SSU rRNA". It matches the Rfam family "Bacterial small subunit ribosomal RNA", at positions 355 to 776 of the family's 1533-position model. The record is from RNAcentral.
UGGGGAAUUUUGGACAAUGGGGGCAACCCUGAUCCAGCCAUGCCGCGUGUGUGAAGAAGGCCUUCGGGUUGUAAAGCACUUUCGGCCGGAACGAAAUCGCGCGAUCUAAUAAGUCGCGUGGAUGACGGUACCGGAAGAAGAAGCACCGGCUAACUACGUGCCAGCAGCCGCGGUAAUACGUAGGGUGCGAGCGUUAAUCGGAAUUACUGGGCGUAAAGUGUGCGCAGGUGGCCGCGCAAGUCGAGUGUGAAAUCCCCGGGCUUAACUUGGGAAUUGCGCUCGAAACUACGUGGCUGGAGUGUGGCAGAGGGAGGUGGAAUUCCACGUGUAGCGGUGAAAUGCGUAGAGAUGUGGAGGAACACCAAUGGCGAAGGCAGCCUCCUGGGCCAACACUGACACUCAUGCACGAAAGCGUGGGGAGCAAACAGG